RNAcentral lists this ribosomal RNA (253 nucleotides) under uncultured bacterium. RNAcentral describes it as "partial 16S ribosomal RNA". It matches the Rfam family "Bacterial small subunit ribosomal RNA", at positions 524 to 776 of the family's 1533-position model. The record is from RNAcentral.
UACGUAGGGUGCGAGCGUUAAUCGGAAUUACUGGGCGUAAAGCGUGCGCAGGCGGUUUUGUAAGCCAGAUGUGAAAUCCCCGGGCUUAACCUGGGAAUGGCAUUUGGGACUGCAAGGCUUGAGUGCGGCAGAGGAGACUGGAAUUCCUGGUGUAGCAGUGAAAUGCGUAGAUAUCAGGAGGAAUACCGAUGGCGAAGGCAGGUCUCUGGGCUGAAACUGACGAUCAUGCACGAAAGCGUGGGGAGCAAACAGG